RNAcentral lists this microRNA (21 nucleotides) under Gorilla gorilla (western gorilla). Its description in RNAcentral is "ggo-miR-1180". Lineage: Eukaryota; Metazoa; Chordata; Mammalia; Primates; Hominidae. The record is from miRBase by way of RNAcentral. RNAcentral also lists the same sequence under 1 other name.
UUUCCGGCUCGCGUGGGUGUG